RNAcentral lists this ribosomal RNA (1243 nucleotides) under metagenome. Its description in RNAcentral is "bacterial LSU rRNA". It matches the Rfam family "Bacterial large subunit ribosomal RNA", at positions 1564 to 2815 of the family's 2925-position model. The record is from RNAcentral.
UGAAUACGAGAUGCUACGGCGUCGAGGCAGUGUAUGUCAGACUUCCAAGAGAAGCUCGCAAUGUCAUAAAUAAAGAAUGCCUGUACCAUAACCGACACAGGUGGGUAGGUAGAGUAUACUAAGGGGCGCGAGAUAACUCUCUCUAAGGAACUCGGCAAAAUAACUCCGUAACUUCGGGAGAAGGAGUGCCUUCUUUAAGAAGGUUGCAAUAACAAGAUCCAAGCAACUGUUUAUCAAAAACACAGGUCUCCGCUAAGUCGUAAGACGAUGUAUGGGGGCUGACGCCUGCCCAGUGCCAGAAGGUUAAAGAAGUUGGUUAGCUUUUGCGAAGCUGAUGACUGAAGCCCUGGUGAACGGCGGCCGUAACAAUAACGGUCCUAAGGUAGCGAAAUUCCUUGUCGGGUAAGUUCCGACCCGCACGAAAGGCGUAAUGAUUUGGAUACUGUCUCGGAGAGGGACUCGGUGAAAUAGACUUGUCUGUGAAGAUGCGGACUACCUGCACCAGGACAGAAAGACCCUAUGAAGCUUUACUGUAACUUGAAAUUGAAAUUGGACUUUAUUUGCGCAGUAUAGGUGGAAGGCGUUGAAAGUAAUCUUGCGGGAUUAGUGGAGCCAUCAGUGAGAUACCACUCCUAUAAUGUUAGAUUUCUAACUUUGGAUCAUGAUCUGGUCAAAGAACAGUUUCAGGCGGGCAGUUUGACUGGGGCGGUCGCCUCCCAAAUGGUAACGGAGGCGUACAAAGGUUUCCUCUGAACGGGUAGAAAUCGUAUCUAGAGUGUAAAGGCAUAAGGAAGCUUGACUGUGAGACCUACAAGUCGAGCAGGGACGAAAGUCGGUCUUAGUGAUCUGACGGUGCUGAGUGGAAAGGCCGUCACUCAACGGAUAAAAGUUACUCUAAGGAUAACAGGCUGAUCUCCCCCAAGAGUUCACAUCGACGGGGAGGUUUGGCACCUCGAUGUCGGCUCAUCGCAUCCUGGGGCGGUAGUACGUCCCAAGGGUUGGGCUGUUCGCCCAUGAAAGCGGUACGCGAGCUGGGUUCAGAACGUCGUGAGACAGUUCGGUCCAUAUCCGGUGUAGGCGUUAGAAUAUUGAGAGGAGCCUUCUUUAGUACGAGAGGACCGAGAAGGACAUACCUCUGGUGUACCAGUUAUCGUGCCAACGGUAAACGCUGGGUAGCUAUGUAUGGAGAGGAUAACCGCUGAAAGCAUCUAAGUGGGAAGCCCACCUCAAGAUGAGUAUUCCC